Molecule: long non-coding RNA, 542 nt
Filed under: Daucus carota (carrot)
Lineage: Eukaryota; Viridiplantae; Streptophyta; Magnoliopsida; Apiales; Apiaceae
Description: long non-coding RNA (DCAR_LNC005113)
Source: RNAcentral
GACAAUGUGAUCUAUCCUAAAAUAGUAAAAUGCCAGUAGAGUUCCUCCACAGUCUGCGCUAAAGACAUGUUAGUAUGAAUUUUAUUGGUACAGAAUAUAUUUUAAGAUAACAGCUCAAAUUACUCAUUCAGUGCUCUAUUCUGAAGAAGCACUUGAAGAGGCGCCAUAAUUACCACGGCCACCAUUACCAUUACGGUGACCACCAGAUUCAUGACCCUGAACGUCCUCUCAGAUCAAAGCAUGAUCAGAUGAAGGUGCCUCGUUGCUCAUGGAGCGGCCAUUUGGUUAAAGCUCCUCGAAUAACAGUUUGGUGGUUAAGGCUGGAAGGGUUUGAGGAUGCAAAACCAAAUUCUUUUAAGGCAUACUUUGAUGCAGUGCAAACACUGUAUGCAUAGGCUAGCAUAUUUAGUGUCGUGUCACCUGAUCUCAAGCACUUAAGGGUAUUGGUUUUAUAAUCAUUUCGCAAUGAGUUUCCAAAUUCCACAGGGAAUUUGAAAUACCUUAAACAUCUGGAUAUCUCAAAUGUCAAUGACACAAGAGCU